RNAcentral lists this ribosomal RNA (484 nucleotides) under uncultured bacterium. Its description in RNAcentral is "partial 16S ribosomal RNA". It matches the Rfam family "Bacterial small subunit ribosomal RNA", at positions 899 to 1397 of the family's 1533-position model. The record is from RNAcentral.
ACUCAAAGGAAUAGACGGGGGCCCGCACAAGCAGCGGAGCGUGUGGUUUAAUUCGAGGCUACACGAAGAACCUUACCUGGGCUUGACAUAUAGGUGGUAGCGACUUGAAAGAGAAGCGACCUUCGGGAGCCUAUACAGGUGCUGCAUGGCUGUCGUCAGCUCGUGUCGUGAGAUGUUCGGUUAAGUCCGGUAACGAGCGCAACCCCUAGGCUUAGUUACAAGUGUCUAAGCCGACUGCCCGGUUCAACUGGGAGGAAGGUGGGGAUGACGUCAAGUCAGCAUGGCCUUUAUGUCCAGGGCUACACACACGCUACAAUGGCGCAUACAAUAGGUUGCCAACCCGCAAGGGGGAGCCAAUCCAGUAAAGUGCGUCUCAGUUCGGAUUGUCGGCUGCAACCCGCCGGCAUGAAGCUGGAGUUGCUAGUAAACGCAGGUCAGCCAUACUGCGUUGAAUACGUUCCCGGGCCUUGCACACACCGCCCGU